RNAcentral lists this ribosomal RNA (442 nucleotides) under uncultured bacterium. RNAcentral describes it as "partial 16S ribosomal RNA". It matches the Rfam family "Bacterial small subunit ribosomal RNA", at positions 338 to 795 of the family's 1533-position model. The record is from RNAcentral.
CCUACGGGAGGCAGCAGUGGGGAAUAUUGGGCAAUGGGCGCAAGCCUGACCCAGCAACGCCGCGUGAAGGAAGAAGGCUUUCGGGUUGUAAACUUCUUUUCUGAGGGACGAAGAAAGUGACGGUACCUCAGGAAUAAGCCACGGCUAACUACGUGCCAGCAGCCGCGGUAAUACGUAGGUGGCAAGCGUUAUCCGGAUUUAUUGGGUGUAAAGGGCGUGUAGGCGGGAAAGCAAGUCAGAUGUGAAAACUCAGGGGUCACCCCUGAGCCGGCAUUUGAAAAUGUUUUUCUUGAGUGCUGGGGAGCCAAUCGGAAUUCCGGGUGUAGCGGUGAAAUGCGUAGAUAUACGGAGGAACCCCAGUGGCAAGGGCGGAUUGCUGGACAGUAACUGACGCUGAGGCGCGAAGGCUUGGGAGCAAACAGGAUUAGAUACCCCUGUAGUC